Molecule: ribosomal RNA, 235 nt
Filed under: uncultured Eubacteriales bacterium
Lineage: Bacteria; Bacillati; Bacillota; Clostridia; Eubacteriales
Description: uncultured Clostridiales bacterium partial 16S ribosomal RNA
Rfam family: Bacterial small subunit ribosomal RNA
Source: RNAcentral
CGGACGGGUGAGUAACACGUGAGUAACCUGCCUUACACAAGGGGAUAGCCGUUGGAAACGACGAAUAAUACCCAAUGAAACUAUCACUUCGCAUGAAGCGAUAGUCAAAGUGUUAGCGGUGUAAGAUGGACUUGCGUCUGAUUAGCUAGUUGGUGAGAAAAAAGCCCACCAAGGCAACGAUCAGUAGCCGGCUUGAGAGAGUGUACGGCCACAUUGGGACUGAGACACGGCCCAG